UCCGGAAAAAUUUUCUACUACUCAAUGGAACACCACUGAACUUCUAAAUAUUCGUAAAAACAUUGAAUUUGUUAUUACUAGUCCAACUUUAAAGAAACAAUAGCCUCAGAAACUGUCUGAUAAAGCUCUCAGAAUAUCAUUCCUACAAGCAUCACUCAAAUACAACUUCAUAAGAAAGUGAAUUUUUCCUUCAAACCUGUUGGACAAAAUUAACCAUAUAAACC
Molecule: long non-coding RNA, 224 nt
Filed under: Solanum tuberosum (potato)
Lineage: Eukaryota; Viridiplantae; Streptophyta; Magnoliopsida; Solanales; Solanaceae
Description: long non-coding RNA (STUB_LNC005265)
Source: RNAcentral